UAGGGAAUCUUCCGCAAUGGGCGAAAGCCUGACGGAGCAACGCCGCGUGAGUGAUGAAGGUCUUCGGAUCGUAAAACUCUGUUAUCAGGGAAGAACAAAUGUGUAAGUAACUAUGCACGUCUUGACGGUACCUAAUCAGAAAGCCACGGCUAACUACGUGCCAGCAGCCGCGGUAAUACGUAGGUGGCAAGCGUUCUCCGGCAUUAUUGGGCGUAAAGCGCGCGUAGGCGGUUUGUUAAGUCUGAUGUGAAAGUCCAGGGCUCAACCGGGGAGGGUCAUUGGAAGCUGGAAAACUUGCGUGCAGAAGAGGAAAGUGGAAUUCCAUGUGUAGCGGUGAAAUGCGCAGAGAUAUGGAGGAACACCAGUGGCGAAGGCGACUUUCUGGUCUGUAACUGACGCUGAUGUGCGAAAGCGUGGGGAUCAAACAGG
This 429-nucleotide ribosomal RNA is filed under the name Actinomycetes bacterium. RNAcentral's name for it is "Actinobacteria bacterium partial 16S ribosomal RNA". It matches the Rfam family "Bacterial small subunit ribosomal RNA", at positions 355 to 776 of the family's 1533-position model. Lineage: Bacteria; Bacillati; Actinomycetota; Actinomycetes. The record is from RNAcentral.